UGAGGUAUAGCCAAGUUGGUAAGGCAGUAGGCUUUGGCUCUACGAUCAUAGGUUCGAGUCCUAUUACCUCAG
RNAcentral lists this transfer RNA (72 nucleotides) under Eudorina elegans. RNAcentral describes it as "tRNA-Gln". It matches the Rfam family "tRNA". Rfam says of the family: Transfer RNA (tRNA) molecules are approximately 80 nucleotides in length. The record is from RNAcentral. Lineage: Eukaryota; Viridiplantae; Chlorophyta; Chlorophyceae; Chlamydomonadales; Volvocaceae.